AAAAAAGAGCAUUGAAGCAUUAAGGUAGAUACUGAAUAUUUUUACAGAUGAUGUACCAAACAAUAGUGAAUUAAAGAUGUAACGAUGAUAUAACUUUAAUGACCGUUCCAAGAAUUAUAAAUGAUAUAAAAAACAUUUUGU
This is a long non-coding RNA of Rhopalosiphum padi (bird cherry-oat aphid), 141 nucleotides long. RefSeq lists it as uncharacterized. The record is from RefSeq and is a predicted model, not a curated record. The transcript is spliced from 3 exons. Lineage: Eukaryota; Metazoa; Arthropoda; Insecta; Hemiptera; Aphididae.